RNAcentral lists this ribosomal RNA (497 nucleotides) under uncultured bacterium. RNAcentral describes it as "partial 16S ribosomal RNA". It matches the Rfam family "Bacterial small subunit ribosomal RNA", at positions 28 to 507 of the family's 1533-position model. The record is from RNAcentral.
GAUGAACGCUGGCGGCGUGCCUAAUACAUGCAAGUCGAGCGAACGGACGAGAAGCUUGCUUCUCUGAUGUUAGCGGCGGACGGGUGAGUAACACGUGGAUAACCUACCUAUAAGACUGGUAUAACUUCGGGAAACCGGAGCUAAUACCGGAUAAUAUUUUGAACCGCAUGGUUCAAAAGUGAAAGACGGUCUUUCUGUCACUUAUAGAUGGAUCCGCGCUGCAUUAGCUAGUUGGUAAGGUAACGGCUUACCAAGGCAACGAUGCAUAGCCGACCUGAGAGGGUGAUCGGCCACACUGGAACUGAGACGCGGCCCAGACUCCUACGGGAGGCAGCAGUAGGGAAUCUUCCGCAAUGGGCGAAAGCCUGACGGAGCAACGCCGCGUGAGUGAUGAAGGUCUUCGGAUCGUAAAACUCUGUUAUUAGGGAAGAACAGAUGUGUAAGUAACUGUGCACAUCUUGACGGUACCUAAUCAGAAAGCCACGGCUAACUACGUG